UCAAAAACAUGUCUUUUUGAUAAUAAUUUAAAGUCUAAUCUGCCCACUGAUAAAAUAUUAAAGGGCUGCAGUAUAUUGACUGUACAAAGGUAGCAUAAUCAUUAGUCUUUUAAUUGAAGACUUGUAUGAAAGAUUUGAUGAAAUAUAAACUGUCUCUAAUUUAUAAUUAGAAAUUAAUUUUUUAGUUAAAAAGCUAAAAUAAAAUUAAAAGACGAGAAGACCCUAUAGAGUUUUAUAUUUUAUUUUUUUAAUAUUAAAAAUAUAAUUAAAUUAUAUUAAGUAAAUGAAAUAUUAUGUUGGGGUGAUAAAAAAAUUUAAUAAACUUUUUUUAAAAAAUUAACAUAGAUAAGUGAUUAAUUGAUCCAUUAAUAAUGAUUAAAAGAAAAAAUUACCUUAGGGAUAACAGCGUAAUAUUUUUUUUUAGUACAAAUAAAAAAGAAAGUUUGCGACCUCGAUGUUGGAUUAAGAUAAAAUUUAAAUGCAAAAGUUUAAAAUUUUGAUCUGUUCGAUCAUUAAAAUCUUACAUGAUCUGAGUUCAAAACCGGAGA
RNAcentral lists this ribosomal RNA (548 nucleotides) under Junonia atlites. RNAcentral's name for it is "partial 16S ribosomal RNA". The stretch from base 399 to 548 matches the Rfam family "Bacterial large subunit ribosomal RNA", at positions 2473 to 2624 of the family's 2925-position model. The record is from RNAcentral. Lineage: Eukaryota; Metazoa; Arthropoda; Insecta; Lepidoptera; Nymphalidae.